RNAcentral lists this ribosomal RNA (434 nucleotides) under uncultured Lachnospiraceae bacterium. Its description in RNAcentral is "partial 16S ribosomal RNA". It matches the Rfam family "Bacterial small subunit ribosomal RNA", at positions 341 to 792 of the family's 1533-position model. The record is from RNAcentral. Lineage: Bacteria; Bacillati; Bacillota; Clostridia; Lachnospirales; Lachnospiraceae.
ACGGAAGGCAGCAGUGGGGAAUAUUGCACAAUGGGGGAAACCCUGAUGCAGCGACGCCGCGUGAGUGAAGAAGUAUUUCGGUAUGUAAAGCUCUAUCAGCAGGGAAGAAAAUGACGGUACCUGACUAAGAAGCCCCGGCUAACUACGUGCCAGCAGCCGCGGUAAUACGUAGGGGGCAAGCGUUAUCCGGAUUUACUGGGUGUAAAGGGAGCGUAGACGGCUGUGUAAGUCUGAAGUGAAAGCCCCGGGCUCAACUCGGGAACUGCUUUGGAAACUAUAUAGCUAGAGUGCAGGAGAGGUAAGUGGAAUUCCUAGUGUAGCGGUGAAAUGCGUAGAUAUUAGGAGGAACACCAGUGGCGAAGGCGGCUUACUGGACUGUAACUGACGUUGAGGCUCGAAAGCGUGGGGAGCAAACAGGAUUAGAUACCCUGGUA